CGGGGCGUAGCGCAGCCUGGUAGCGCACGCGGUUCGGGACCGCGGUGUCGGAGGUUCAAAUCCUCUCGCCCCGA
This 74-nucleotide transfer RNA is filed under the name candidate division Zixibacteria bacterium CG_4_9_14_3_um_filter_46_8. Its description in RNAcentral is "tRNA-Pro". It matches the Rfam family "tRNA". Rfam says of the family: Transfer RNA (tRNA) molecules are approximately 80 nucleotides in length. Their secondary structure includes four short double-helical elements and three loops (D, anti-codon, and T loops). Further hydrogen bonds mediate the characteristic L-shaped molecular structure. tRNAs have two regions of fundamental functional importance: the anti-codon, which is responsible for specific mRNA codon recognition, and the 3' end, to which the tRNAs corresponding amino acid is attached (by aminoacyl-tRNA synthetases). tRNAs cope with the degeneracy of the genetic code in two manners: having more than one tRNA (with a specific anti-codon) for a particular amino acid; and 'wobble' base-pairing, i.e. permitting non-standard base-pairing at the 3rd anti-codon position. The record is from RNAcentral. Lineage: Bacteria; Pseudomonadati; Candidatus Zixiibacteriota.